Molecule: ribosomal RNA, 253 nt
Filed under: uncultured bacterium
Lineage: Bacteria
Description: partial 16S ribosomal RNA
Rfam family: Bacterial small subunit ribosomal RNA
Source: RNAcentral
GACGAACCGAGCGAACGUUGUUCGGAAUCACUGGGCUUAAAGGGCGCGUAGGCGGGCCGCCGCGUCCGGGGUGAAAUCCUCCCGCUCAACGGGAGAACGGCCUCGGAUACGGGCGGUCUGGAGGGGGGUAGGGGCGUGCGGAACUGUGGGUGGAGCGGUGAAAUGCGUUGAUAUCCACAGGAACUCCGGUGGCGAAGGCGGCACGCUGGACCCCACCUGACGCUGAGGCGCGAAAGCCAGGGGAGCGAACAGG